Molecule: ribosomal RNA, 1274 nt
Filed under: metagenome
Description: bacterial SSU rRNA
Rfam family: Bacterial small subunit ribosomal RNA
Source: RNAcentral
GUGGCGAACGGGCGAGUAAUAUAUCGGAACGUGCCCUGGAGUGGGGGAUAACGUAGCGAAAGUUACGCUAAUACCGCAUACGAUCCAAGGAUGAAAGCAGGGGACCGCAAGGCCUUGUGCUCCUGGAGCGGCCGAUAUCUGAUUAGCUAGUUGGUGGGGUAAAAGCCUACCAAGGCGACGAUCAGUAGCUGGUCUGAGAGGACGACCAGCCACACUGGGACUGAGACACGGUCCAGACUCCUACGGGAGGCAGCAGUGGGGAAUUUUGGACAAUGGGGGCAACCCUGAUCCAGCAAUGCCGCGUGUGUGAAGAAGGCCUUCGGGUUGUAAAGCACUUUUGUCAGGAACGAAACGGUCUGGGCUAAUAUCCUGGGCUAAUGACGGUACCUGAAGAAUAAGCACCGGCUAACUACGUGCCAGCAGCCGCGGUAAUACGUAGGGUGCAAGCGUUAAUCGGAAUUACUGGGCGUAAAGCGUGCGCAGGCGGUUAUGUAAGACAGAUGUGAAAUGCCCGGGCUUAACCUGGGACUGCAUUUGUGACUGCAUGGCUAGAAUCUGGCAGAGGGGGGUAGAAUUCCACGUGUAGCAGUGAAAUGCGUAGAGAUGUGGAGGAACAUCGAUGGCGAAGGCAGCCCCCUGGGCUAAGAUUGACGCUCAUGCACGAAAGCGUGGGGAGCAAACAGGAUUAGAUACCCUGGUAGUCCACGCCCUAAACGAUGUCUACUAGUUGUCGGGUCUUAAUUGACUUGGUAACGCAGCUAACGCGUGAAGUAGACCGCCUGGGGAGUACGGUCGCAAGAUUAAAACUCAAAGGAAUUGACGGGGACCCGCACAAGCGGUGGAUGAUGUGGAUUAAUUCGAUGCAACGCGAAAAACCUUACCUACCCUUGACAUGGAAGGAAUCCCUGAGAGAUUGGGGAGUGCUCGAAAGAGAACCUUUACACAGGUGCUGCAUGGCUGUCGUCAGCUCGUGUCGUGAGAUGUUGGGUUAAGUCCCGCAACGAGCGCAACCCUUGUCAUUAGUUGCUACGCAAGAGCACUCUAAUGAGACUGCCGGUGACAAACCGGAGGAAGGUGGGGAUGACGUCAAGUCCUCAUGGCCCUUAUGGGUAGGGCUUCACACGUCAUACAAUGGUACAUACAAAGGGCCGUCGCUCAACGGAUAAAAGUUACUCUAGGAUAACAGGCUGAUCUUCCCCAAGAGUUCACAUCGACGGGAAGGUUUGGCACCUCGAUGUCGGCUCAUCACAUCCUGGGGCGGUAGUACGUCCCAA